UACGUAGGGGGCAAGCGUUGUCCGGAUUUAUUGGGCGUAAAGAGCGUGUAGGCGGCUUUACAGGUCCGUUGUGAAAACUCGAGGCUCAACCUCGAGACGCCGGUGGAAACCGUAAGGCUAGAGUCCGGAAGAGGAGAGUGGAAUUCCUGGUGUAGCGGUGAAAUGCGCAGAUAUCAGGAAGAACACCCGUGGCGAAGGCGGCUCGCUGGGACGGUACUGACGCUGAGACGCGAAAGCUAGGGGAGCAAACGGG
This 253-nucleotide ribosomal RNA is filed under the name uncultured bacterium. RNAcentral describes it as "partial 16S ribosomal RNA". It matches the Rfam family "Bacterial small subunit ribosomal RNA", at positions 524 to 776 of the family's 1533-position model. The record is from RNAcentral.